GCCACGUCGGGCGCGCAGGACCCGACUACAAACAGCUGAGAGUCAGCCCACGGCUGUCAGUGAGCUGGCUGUGUGACCGGCCGAAGAGACCCGGUCGGAUUACCUGCUGCUGUCCUGACGCUGAGAUUGGGCACGGGGGAUGGGGGAGGGAGUAGUACUGUAUUUAUGUAGGUCGCACAGUAAAUCUCUUGGUGCACUGCCUACUCAGCCUAGGAGUCUAAAGAUUUACGAAUAUUAACACUUAAAAGGCAUCGGACUGUGCCUAGAAUAACGGAACCUAUGAGUGCCAUAAAUGUCUGCCCAAAUCUCGGCUACUGCGCAGUAAGGUAAAUCUUUAUUAAGGCCAGAGCCUUCUCUCUUCCUUGCAAAAGGAACAUAGAUGCGGCUAGAACUGAGGGGAGCUGAAGAGCUGCAUCAGCUCAACCCUACAAAGCAAGAGCCCACUGUCAAGUUGAGCAUAUAUUGAAUCUUCCGAUCACUGCACGAAUGUCCCCGAGGAUAGAAGGCCUUUCUCACUGCUGCUUCGGAGUACGAACAACCCUGUUUUUAACGAAAGUAUUAACAUAAAAUGGGGGUUUUCAGUGCAGAGAAGCUUAGUCCUCAAAAAGGAUAGCUUGAGAUAAAAGGCAAGGCAGAUAUACUGACCAAUUCUCUAGGUCUUAGACAGCAUUGUAGAAGUUCACAUUUAGUGACUGUGAUGGUAACCAGGAAGACAAUCUAGCCUGUGAAGAUAGACCUGAAAGAUGUCUGCAGGAAGCCAUGAUUUAAAGAAAAAUCUCAGCAUCAGGCCAAGCAAGCAGUGAUGGUGUACACCUUUAAUCCCAGCACUUGGGAGGCAGAUAAACAGUGGCUCAUGCUGAAACAGGAGGUUCCCUGAGAGUGUGAUUCCACCUAGGGAAACACAGUGAAUUCCAUCCUGAGCUUCAGCACGAGAGACUGUCUCACAAAGCUAAAGCCAAAAACAAAAACAAGCCGUACAUUCAGCCACUGAUGCAUUAAGAAUGUGUUGGGCAUUUCAUUAUUUACAUCUCAUUCUCUAAGCAGCAGUAUUUUUAUUAUCCCCCAUUUUAUUGAAGAAACUGCAGCUCAAAAAAGCAAAGUAACUUCCCUAUGGUCAAUGGCUACGCCAUUGCAGAGCUGAGGUCAGGUCCCAAGAACAUGAGCCUUACAGACUGUACUAAUAACCAUUUUCUCUGAUGGAAGCAAAUUACUGGAAACUACUAAAAACUUAAGAUAUUAGACCACCUCAUCAACCACAGUAUGACAACACACUUGAUGGCAACUAGGAGGCAAUGCUUGACAAAGCCAGGACAAUCAUGGGCCAGCUGACUGGAGGGGCACUCUGAAGGACAGAAGGGAUCCUGAAGUUACCUAGAGGCUAGCAACACAAUCUCUGCUCAGGUCAUGUCAGGAGAGAAGACUGUAGGAGUAGAGAAACUGACACACUUCAACUUUAAAAUAAAUUUAGAGAAUUUCUUUUUAUUUCCCCAGCUCCAAAAACAAGGGAUUUUGUAGAAAGUAGGACCAGAGAAACUUGGUGGCAAAUUCUCAUUUGCUGUCUUUGUCCUCAGCCCAUUUUCUGCAAAUAAUUAGGAUGACCUCUGAGAUGAAUCAAGAACAGAGUAAGUUGGUUACUGGGUAAACAGGACUAAUUUCACAAUCCAUCUUGGUGGAAGAGAAGAUAGCGACCAUUCCAGAAAGAUAUACAGAUUGGGGCAAAAGCUAGGGCCAGCACUAAGAAAUAAAAGCUAAAAUUCGAAGAAGAUAUCAGAAGAUGGAAAGAUCUCCCAUGCUCAUGGCUUGGCAGGAUUAACAUAGUAAAAAUGGCCAUCUUACCAAAAGCAAUCUACAGAUUCAAUGCAAUUCCCAUCAAAUUACCAACACAAUUCUUUACAGACCUGGAAAGAAAAAUUCUCAACUUCAUGUGGAAUAACAAGAAACCCAGAAUUGCCAAAACAAUCCUCUACAAUAAAAGAUCUUCUGGAGGUAUCUCCAUCCCUGAUCUUAAGCUGUACUAUAGAGCAACAGUUAUAAAAACUGCAUGGUACUGGCAUAGAAACAGAAUGGUGGAUCAAUGGAACCAAACAGAGGACCCAGAAAUAAACCCAUACACUUAUGGACACCUGAUCUUUGACAAAGAUGCCAAAACCAUACAAUGGAAAAAAGAUAGCAUCUUCAACAAAUGGUCUAACUGGAUGUCUACAUGUAAAAAAAUGAAAAUAGAUCCAUACUUAUCACCCUGCACAAAACUGAAGUCCAAGUGGAUCAAAGACCUCAACAUAAAACCGGACACAUUAAAUUGGUUAGAAAAAAAAAGUGGGGAACACCCUUGAACUCAUUGGCACAGGAGACAACUUCCUGAACAGAACACUAACAUCACAGGCUCUAAGAGCAACAAUCAAUAAAUGGGACCUCAUGAAACUGAAAAGCUUCUGUAAAGCAAAGGACACCAUCAUCAAAACAAAACAACUGCCUACAGACUGGGAAAGAAUCUUCAUCAACCCUUUAUCUGACAGAGGGCUAAUAUCCCGUAUAUAUAAAGAACUAAAGAAGCUAAAAAAAACAGCAAACCAAGUAAUCCAAUUAAAAAUAUGGGGAACAGAGCUAAACAGAGAACUCUCUGUAGAGGAAUAUUGAAUGGCAGAGAAAUACUUAAAGAAAUGCUCAACGUCAUUAGCCAUUAGGGAAAUGCAAAUCAAAACGACCCUGAGAUUUCACCUUACACCCAUCAGAAUGGCCAAGAUGAAAAACUCAAGUGACAACACAUGCUGGAGAGGUUGUGGAGAAAGGGGAAACCUCCUCACUGCUGGUGGGAAUGUAAACUUGUACAACCACUCUGGAAAUCAACCUGGCGCUUUCUCAGACAACUAGGAAUAACGCUUCCUCAAGAUCCAGCCAUACCACUCCUAGGCAUAUAUCCAAAAGGGGCUCAAGUACACCAUGUUUGUGGCAGCUUUAUUCCAGAAGCUGGAAACAGCCCAGAUGCCCCUCAACUGAAGAAUGGAUGCAGAAGUUGUGGUACAUCUACACAAUGGAGUACUACUCUGCAAUGAAAAAUAAGGAAAUUAUGAAAUUUGCAGGUAAAUGGUGGGAACUGGAAAGGAUCAUCCUGAGUGAGCUGUCCCAGAAACAGAGGGACACACAUGGUAUAUACUCACUCAUAUAGACAUACAACAUAGGAUAAACCUACUAAAACCUGUACAUCUAAAGAAACUAAUUAAGAGAGAGAACCCUGACUAAAACGCUCAAUCCCUAUCACAAAAGGCAAAGAAGAUGGGCAUCAGAAGAAGAAAAAAAAAAAAAAAAAAAAAAAACAGGAAACAACCUAGGAACCUGCCACAGAGGGCCUCUAAAAGCCUCUGCCCUGCAGACUAUCAAAGCAGACACUGAGACUUAUGGCCAGCUGUUGGGCAAAGUGCAGGGAAUCUUAUGUAAGAAGUGGGAAAUAGUAAGAUCUGGAGAGGACAGGAACCCCACAAGGAGAGCAACAGAACCAGAAAAUUUGAACACAGGGGUCUUCCCAGAGACUCAUACUCCAACCAAGUACCAUGCAUGGAGAUAACCUAGAACCCCUGCACAGAUGUAGUCCACGGCAGUGUAGUGUCCAAGUGGGUUACAUAGUAGUGGGAAGAGGGACUGCCUCUGACAUAAUCUAACAGGCCUGAUCACCUCCCCCUGAGGGGAAAGCAGCCUUACCAGGCCACAGAAGAUGACAAUGCAGCCACUCCUGAUGAGAUCUGAUAGACUAAGAUCAGAAGGAAGGAGAGGAGGACCUCCCCUAUCAGUGGACUUGGGG
Molecule: long non-coding RNA, 3796 nt
Organism: Meriones unguiculatus (Mongolian gerbil)
Lineage: Eukaryota; Metazoa; Chordata; Mammalia; Rodentia; Muridae
Exons: 3
Source: RefSeq, a predicted model, not a curated record